Molecule: long non-coding RNA, 590 nt
Organism: Chelmon rostratus (copperband butterflyfish)
Lineage: Eukaryota; Metazoa; Chordata; Actinopteri; Chaetodontiformes; Chaetodontidae
Exons: 4
Source: RefSeq, a predicted model, not a curated record
CAACCACCUCCUCCACCUGCUGCCAGACCGUCUGCUGAAGCUCUGAAGGCUUGAAGGUGUGAUCACUGCAACCAUGCUGAAGGUAGCACUUGUGCUCGGAUGCCUCCUGAGCCUCGCUCUGGCUCAUCCUACGGAGACUGAACACCAGCGGUUUGCUCGCUCAGACUCCAAUGAGGCUACCGCCACUGGGGCUGCAGGAGCUUCAGAUGUAGCUUCAGCUGCAGCAGCAGCAGCAGCAGCGUUGUCGCCUCAACAGAUUCUCCAGCUCAUUCUGAACCUCUUUCAGCGUUAAUAAAGUACCACUGCAGCGCUGCAACAACUCCUCCUGCAGCUACAACUCCUCCUGCAGCUACAACUACUAGCACAGAAAAUUAAAAUGUAAUCAGAGACAGCCACCAUCGAAUGACGUCCAUGUUUAACAUCAGAUAUGUUUUGUGUCAGUUUGUCGAGAAGACUUCUUCUGUCUCUUUUCAAACUUCCAAGAUGUCUGUAUGUGCUUCUCAAACUCGUCAUUCUACUUCAUUUAGACGUGUGGAUCACAACCACACAACUCUCUGUACUAUCUGCUGAAUAAAGUGCAUGAAAACGGA